AGCGAACGCUGGCGGCAGGCCUAACACAUGCAAGUCGAAGGUGAUUCCAGGCUUCGGCCUGGUUGAAACUGGCGCACGGGUGAGUAACGCGUGGGAACCUACCUCAAGGUACGGAACAACCACUGGAAACGGUGGCUAAUACCGUAUGUGCCCUACGGGGGAAAGAUUUAUCGCCUUGGGAAGGGCCCGCGUCCGAUUAGCUAGUUGGUGAGGUAACGGCCCACCAAGGCGACGAUCGGUAGCUGGUCUGAGAGGAUGGUCAGCCACACUGGGACUGAGACACGGCCCAGACUCCUACGGGAGGCAGCAGUGGGGAAUAUUGGACAAUGGGCGCAAGCCUGAUCCAGCCAUGCCGCGUGAGUGAAGAAGGCCCUAGGGUUGUAAAGCUCUUUCGGCGGGGAAGAUGAUGACGGUACCCGCAGAAGAAGCCCCGGCUAACUCCGUG
Molecule: ribosomal RNA, 445 nt
Filed under: uncultured Alphaproteobacteria bacterium
Lineage: Bacteria; Pseudomonadati; Pseudomonadota; Alphaproteobacteria
Description: bacterial SSU rRNA
Rfam family: Bacterial small subunit ribosomal RNA
Source: RNAcentral